GAAGCUAACGAGUGUACAUAUGAAAACAUUGGAGCGAUAAAGAGAAGAUUAGCAUGGCCCCUGCGCAAGGAUGACACGCACAAUCGUGAAGUUAAAAAACAGACA
Styela clava is the source of this 105-nucleotide small nuclear RNA. The record is from RefSeq and is a predicted model, not a curated record. Lineage: Eukaryota; Metazoa; Chordata; Ascidiacea; Stolidobranchia; Styelidae.